Molecule: ribosomal RNA, 340 nt
Filed under: uncultured soil bacterium
Lineage: Bacteria
Description: bacterial SSU rRNA
Rfam family: Bacterial small subunit ribosomal RNA
Source: RNAcentral
AGGACGAACGCUGGCGGCGGGCUUAACACAUGCAAGUCGAACGAAGCCUUCGGGCUUAGUGGCGCACGGGUGAGUAACACGUAGGCAACCUACCCUCAGCUGGGGAAUAACCAGGGGAAACCCUGGCUAAUACCGCAUAACGUCGUCGCGACCACCUGGUCGUACGACCAGAGUUCUGGCGGCUGAGGAUGGGCCUGCGUCGGAUUAGCUAGUUGGCGGGGUAACGGCCACCAAGGCGACGAUCCGUAGCGGGUCUGAGAGGAUGAUCCGCCACACUGGCACUGAGACACGGGCCAGACUCCUACGGGAGGCAGCAGUGGGGAAUAUUGGACAAUGGGCG